CAGGGAGACAACAAAAUGUUUAAUAUUAUUAUUUUGUCACCUUAGGUCGAUCGGUAUCUCACGUUCUUAAUUUGUUAAGAAUUUCAUUUCCUAAGUUUUUCUAGGUCACACCCAUUAUUUUUCCUGGGCCAUUAGCUCAGGUGGUUAGAGCGCACCCCUGAUAAGGGUGAGGUCCCUGGUUCAAGUCCAGGAUGGCCCAUAUCUCUAUGUUGGGGGUAUAGCUCAGUUGGUAGAGCGCCUGCUUUGCAAGCAGGAUGUCAGCGGUUCGAGUCCGCUUACCUCCACUGAUUACCACCUCUUACAUAACUGGUAAAAAGGAGAUGUUUUGAGUUGUGAUCAUUAUUCUGAACGAAUCUAGCUUCCUAAUGAAAUCAUUAAGAUGCUGGACUCAUUGAAUUAAUUUCAUUGUUUUCAGAGAACCUUGACAACUGCAUAGAUUAUUUUUAAAGACAAUAAGCAUCUUUAAUGAUGCAGAUUUAUUAUUUGUGCGAAUGCAUUAAUAACAAUUCUAUUAAGCUGAUGCUUCAAUUUUUUGAAGUUAUU
This 543-nucleotide transfer RNA is filed under the name uncultured Prochlorococcus sp. RNAcentral's name for it is "partial 16S-23S ribosomal RNA intergenic spacer". The stretch from base 212 to 284 matches the Rfam family "tRNA". Lineage: Bacteria; Bacillati; Cyanobacteriota; Cyanophyceae; Synechococcales; Prochlorococcaceae. The record is from RNAcentral.